RNAcentral lists this ribosomal RNA (354 nucleotides) under Triticum aestivum (bread wheat). RNAcentral's name for it is "partial small subunit ribosomal RNA". The record is from RNAcentral. Lineage: Eukaryota; Viridiplantae; Streptophyta; Magnoliopsida; Poales; Poaceae.
AUGUUCGUCAAGAAGAGGCAGGCUAUUCAGCUUCCCAGCAUCUCCUUGUUCUCAAGUAUCAAGAAGAAUUCAGGAAAUAAGGUUCUAUGCACAUGCCUCUGCCAAAGGAUUGGCCCCAACCUCAUUUUUCCAUCGAAUCCAAUGAUUCUCCAUGACUUUACAAUCAGAUGCAUACCAAUAUUCAUGGUGACCACCAUAGUCACCACAGUUGUAAGACGAGCACCAAAUGUUGCCCUGAUAUUAUAUCAUUUUUGGGUCAUCUCUUGCUCGAGCGACUCGGCUAAAAUCUUGGUUCUACAAAUGCAAGAUUGUAAUUGCAACAACACAAGCAAGCGUCUCGCAAGUGGAGGUUAA